CCGACCCCAGGUCAGGCGGGACUACCCGCUGAGU
This 34-nucleotide ribosomal RNA is filed under the name Oxalis paludosa. RNAcentral's name for it is "partial 26S ribosomal RNA". The record is from RNAcentral. Lineage: Eukaryota; Viridiplantae; Streptophyta; Magnoliopsida; Oxalidales; Oxalidaceae.